UACGUAGGGUCCGAGCGUUUGUCCGGAAUUACUGGGCGUAAAGAGCUCGUAGGUGGUUUGUCGCGUUGUUCGUGAAAACUCACAGCUUAACUGUGGGCGUGCGGGCGAUACGGGGCAGACUUGAGUACUGCAGGGGAGACUGGAAUUCCUGGUGUAGCGGUGGAAUGCGCAGAUAUCAGGAAGAACACCCGUGGCUAAGGCGGCUCCUCUAGUAAGCGGGUACUGACGCUGAGACGCGAAAGCGUGGGGAGCGAACAGGAUUAGAAACCCUGGG
RNAcentral lists this ribosomal RNA (274 nucleotides) under uncultured bacterium. Its description in RNAcentral is "partial 16S ribosomal RNA". It matches the Rfam family "Bacterial small subunit ribosomal RNA", at positions 524 to 791 of the family's 1533-position model. The record is from RNAcentral.